AUAGAUCCGUAACUUCGGGAAAAGGAUUGGCUCUAAGGGUUGGGUGCAUCGGGCCUUGGUAAGAAGCCUCGGGAUCUAGCAGGGACUGUUUGGAGGGCAACUUCUAGAUGGACCCAGCCGGGACCUGGGUGUGGACGACCUUGGCUGCUCUUCGGGGCGUCCGGUGUACGCUUAACAACCAACUUAGAACUGGUACGG
This 198-nucleotide ribosomal RNA is filed under the name Coprinopsis trispora. RNAcentral describes it as "partial 25S large subunit ribosomal RNA". It matches the Rfam family "Eukaryotic large subunit ribosomal RNA", at positions 1922 to 2122 of the family's 3401-position model. Lineage: Eukaryota; Fungi; Basidiomycota; Agaricomycetes; Agaricales; Psathyrellaceae. The record is from RNAcentral.